AAAACUUUCAAUAAUAAAUUUCUUAGUUUUAGUAUUAAUAAAGAAUGUAGCGAAAUAUAAUAAGUAAUAUAAAUUAUAGAAUUUAGUAAAUUAUUAAAUCUUUAAACGUAUAUUAUACUUACUAAUAUUUUAGUAAAUAUAUUUAUUCGAACGUUAUUUUAAUUAUUAAAUUUUAUUUACGUUAGGGAUUUAUAAUUAUCUAUAGUCCUUCAAAAUCAGUAGCGGGCUCGCUAAUUAUAUUAAGUAUAGUAAUUUUAUAUUACUAUAAUUAUACGGCGGGUUUUUACUAUAAAACCCCCUAUUUCUAAGGUUGACCUCGGAUUAGGUAAGAAUACCCGCUAAAUUUAAAUAUAUUAAUAAGCAGAGGAAAAAAAACUAAUAGGGAUUGUUUUAGUAAUAGUGAGUGAAGCGGUAAUAGUUUAAAUUUGAAAUUUAGCUUCGGCCUGAAUUGUAAUUUAUAGAGGAAGCUUUUAGUAAGGCACCUUUUAAAUCCCCUAGAAUAGGGCGCUAUAGAGGGUGAGAGCCUUAUAUAAUUGGAUGUCGAUUUAAUAUAAAGUUCCUUUAAUAAAUCGAAUAAUUUAGGAAUAUUAUUUAAAAUAGAAGGUAAAUUUCUUCUAAAGUUAAAUAUUAGUUAGAGAUUAAUAGCGUAUAAGUAGAGUAAUUGAAAGAUAAAAAGCACUUUAAAAAGAGGGUUAAAUAGUAUAUAAAAUUAUUAAAAAGGAAAUAUUUGUAAUUAGAUUUAUAUUAUUCUAAUUAUCCAAUAUUCUUACUAGUAUAUUUAGGACGGUUUAAGCUAGUAUUAAUUUUAGUAGGGGGAUAAAGGUUUAGGGAAUAUAGCUCUUCCGGGAGUGUUAUAACUCCGGGUGUAAUGCCCUCGCUAGGACCGAAGUUCGUAUAUUUGUAAGGAUAUUAGUGUAAUAGUUAUUAAUAAUCCGUUUUGAAAUACGAAUUAAGGAAUUAAGGUUUUGUACGAGUGUUUGGGUGUAAAACCCGUAUGUGUAAUGAAAGUAAAUGUAGGUGAGAGUUUCGGUAUAUUAUCGACCGAUUUUAAUAUAUUCGGAUAAAUUUAAAUAAGAGUGUUAAACCUUAGACCCGAAAAAUAGUAAAUUAUAUUUAGAUAAGGUGAAGUUAGAGGAAAUUUUGGUAGAGGUUUAUAGCGGUUUUAAUGUGCAAAUUGAUUAUUAAAUUUAAGUAUAGGGGUGAAAGAUUAAUUAAAUUAUUUAGUAGUUGGUUACUGCCGAAGUUUCUCUUAGGAUAGUAGUAUUAUUCUUUAGUUUUAUAAGGUAAAGCGAAUGAUUAGGGAUUCGGGGGCGCUUUUUAGCCUUUAUUUAUUCUUAAACUUUAAAUAUAUAAGAAGUCCUUAUUAUUUAAUUGAAUAUAGGUAUUCGAAUAUACUAAUAUUAGUAGGCUAUUUUUAGUAAAUAGAAUUAGCAAUAUGAGAUAAAUUGAAUGUAGGGUUAAAGUACUAGAAUAGACGUUUAUUAAAUAUUAUAAAAAGUAUUAAUAUAUUUUAAUAGUAGGAUGGUGGCUAUAGAAGUCGGAAUCCGUUAAAAAUUGUGUAAUAAUUUACCUACUAAAUAUAUUAGCCUUAAAAAUAGAUAGCGCUUAAGUAUCCUACUUAUACUCCGCCCUUAGGGUAGAAACGAUGUUCUAAGGAGUAGGCAGUUGUAGAAGUUAAUAAUAAAGCUUAGGGCGUAAGCCCGGGUCGAACGGCUUUUAGUAUAGAUCUUGGUAGUAAUAGUAAAUAUUUUAAUAAGAAUUUGAAGGAUUAAAGUAGAGAAAGGUUUUAUGUAAAUAGUGGUUGGAUAUAGGUUAAUUAAUUUUAAGCUAUAGGGAAGUUCUAUUUUAAAGGGGUAUUUGUACCCUAUAUAGUGAAAGGGAAGCUAGUUAAUAUUCCGGCACUUAGAUAUAGGUUUUGUAUAGUAAUGCAAUUAAAUGCGGAGAUAACGGCGGGGGCCCCGGGUAGAAUUUUCUUUUCUUCUUAAUAGUCUAUUAUUUUGAAAAUAGUUUGUUUGGAGAUAGGGUUUAAUAGCCGGAAGAGUCCGAUACUUUUAUCGGGUCCGGUAUACUUUCGAUAUCCCUUAAAAAUCUGUAGGAGGGAAUAAUUCUUAUAUUAGGUUGUACUUAUAAUUGUAGUAGGUUUCUAAAGUGAAUAGCCUCUAGUUAAUAGAAUAAUGUAAAUAAAGGAAGUUGGUAAAAUAGAUCUAUAAUUUCGGGAAAAGGAUUGGCUCUAAGGGUUAGGUAUAUCGGGUUUUGGGUAGACGCUUUAGGAGUAGAUUGCUAUUAGUUGGGUAAUUAGCCGGCGGCUUUUAGUAUUCGGGUAUAGAAGCCUUUAAUAGAUUUCGGUUGUCCGGCGUAUAUUUAAUAACCAAUUUAGAAUUAGUAUAAAUAGGGGGAAUUUAAUUGUUUAAUUAAAAUAUAGUAUUGCGAUAGUUAGAAAGUGGUGUUAAUGUAAUGUGAUUUUUGCCUAGUGUUUUGAAUAUUAAAGUGAAGAAAUUUAAUUAAAUGUAGGUAAAUAGUAGGAGUAACUAUAAUUUUCUUAAGGUAAUUAAAUACUUCGUUAUUUAAUUAGUAAUAUAUAUAAAUAAAUUAAUGAGAUUCCUAUUGUCCCUAUUUACUAUCUAGCGAAACUAUAGUUAAGGGAACGGGUUUAGUAGAAUUAGUGGGGAAAGAAGACCCUAUUAAAUUUAAUUUUAGUUUAAUAUUAUAAAAAGAUAUAGGAGGUGUAGAAUAGGUAGGAGCUUCGGCGCCGGUAAAAUAUUACUAUUCUUAUUAUUUUUUUAUUUAUUUAAUUAAGUAGGGCUGGAUUUUUAUUCAAUUUUUAGUUUUAAAGUCCUUUGUAGGCCGACCUAGGUUGAAGAUAUUAUUAAGUGGGGAGUUUAGUUGGGGCGGUACAUUUGUUAAAUUAUAAUGUAGGUGUCCUAAGGGGGGUUUAUGGAGAAUAGAAAUUUUUAGUAGAAUAAAAGGGUAAAAGUCCCUUUGAUUUUGAUUUUUAGUGUGAAUACAAAUUAUAAAAGUGUAGCCUAUCAAUCCUUUAAUCCCUCGAAAUUUGAAGUUAGAAGUAUUAGAAAAGUUACUAUAGGGAUAAUUGGUUUAUAGCGGCUAAGUAUUUAUAAUAAUAUUACUUUUUAAUCUUUCGAUAUCGGCUCUUUCUAUUAUACCGAAGUAGAAUUUAGUAAGCGUUAGAUUGUUUACCUAUUAAUAAGGAAUGUAAGUUGGGUUUAGACUAUUAUAAGAUAGGUUAGUUUUACCCUAUUAAUAACCUUAUUAUAAUAGUAAUUGAGUUUAGUAUGAGAGGAACUGCUUAUUUAGAUAAUUGGUUUUUAUAGUUGUCCGACUGGGUAGUGCUGCAACGCUACUAUUUAUUGGAUAAUAAUUGAAUACUUUUAAAUUAGAAUCUAUAUUAGAAUACGAUAAUACUUCUAAUAUAUUGUAGACGUAUAAAAAUAAACUCCGGCUUUAUAUUUUAAUAAACAAUUCUUCCGUUAGCCUUAAAGUAGCUAGUAGUAAUUCGCGUAUUGUAAUUUUA
This 3529-nucleotide ribosomal RNA is filed under the name Neurospora crassa OR74A. Its description in RNAcentral is "eukaryotic LSU rRNA". The stretch from base 312 to 3424 matches the Rfam family "Eukaryotic large subunit ribosomal RNA". The record is from RNAcentral. Lineage: Eukaryota; Fungi; Ascomycota; Sordariomycetes; Sordariales; Sordariaceae.